RNAcentral lists this ribosomal RNA (253 nucleotides) under uncultured bacterium. RNAcentral describes it as "partial 16S ribosomal RNA". It matches the Rfam family "Bacterial small subunit ribosomal RNA", at positions 524 to 776 of the family's 1533-position model. The record is from RNAcentral.
UACGUAGGGGCCGAGCGUUGUCCGGAGUUAUUGGGCGUAAAGCGCGCGCAGGCGGCUUCGCGCGCCCGACGUGAAAGCCCCCGGCUUAACCGGGGAGAGUCGUUGGGGACGGCGGGGCUUGAGGGCGGGAGAGGUCGGUGGAAUUCCCGGUGUAGCGGUGAAAUGCGUAGAGAUCAGGAGGAACACCCGUGGCGAAGGCGGCCCUCUGGCUCGACCCUGACGCUGAGAGGCGAAAGCGUGGGGAGCGAACGGG